Molecule: long non-coding RNA, 446 nt
Organism: Pocillopora verrucosa
Lineage: Eukaryota; Metazoa; Cnidaria; Anthozoa; Scleractinia; Pocilloporidae
Source: RefSeq, a predicted model, not a curated record
CCUUUCAGAUCACUAGAAGAUUUCCUUCUGGACCGAGUAGCGACUAAAGACUACAGAACCACAACCUCUCUUCCCCAAUCCCCAGCAGUAUUUUUAAAAUGAAGAUCCAAGCUUUCGUGCUCGUCGCCGCUUUGUUGUUCUUUUCCGCUCUUAUUCAGGAUUGUGAAGGAAUAGGGAUAUUUCCACCUGGGAAAGGAAAACGAGCGGUCCAAAGAAAAGUUCAAGUGACAGCACGGAGUAUUUGUGAGGCAGCUAGAAGCUUGAACUGCGAUGGGAUGGAUCUUGACGGCUGACUCAAGAAGAAAUCUCUCUCAAGUCGCGAAAUAUUCCACUAAUAUAAGUAAAAGACGUGAACCUGACUCAGCAACAGAACACGUAUGUUAAAAAGGAAAGUAAAUUCAUGGAAUAAGGGAGCGGCAAAUAUAUAUAUAUAUAAAAAACAUUUA